Molecule: non-coding RNA, 73 nt
Organism: Pteropus alecto (black flying fox)
Lineage: Eukaryota; Metazoa; Chordata; Mammalia; Chiroptera; Pteropodidae
Source: Rfam
GGUUCCAUAGUGUAGCAGUUAGCACGUCUCCUUUACAUGCAGAAGGUCCUGGGUUCAUGCCCCAGUGGAGCCA